UGGGGAAUAUUGCGCAAUGGGCGAAAGCCUGACGCAGCGACGCCGCGUGAGGGAUGAAGGUUUUCGGAUCGUAAACCUCUGUCAGAAUGGAAGAAACCGCACUGUGCUAAUCAGCAGUGCCUUGACGGUACCUUCAAAGGAAGCACCGGCUAACUCCGUGCCAGCAGCCGCGGUAAUACGGAGGGUGCAAGCGUUAAUCGGAAUUACUGGGCGUAAAGCGCACGUAGGCUGCUUUGUAAGUCAGGGGUGAAGUCCCACGGCUCAACCGUGGAACUGCCUUUGAUACUGCUUAGCUGGAAGCCGGGAGAGGGUGGCGGAAUUCCAGGUGUAGGGGUGAAAUCCGUAGAUAUCUGGAGGAACAUCAGUGGCGAAGGCGGCCACCUGGACCGGUAUUGACGCUGAGGUGCGAAAGCGUGGGGAGCAAGCAGG
Molecule: ribosomal RNA, 429 nt
Filed under: Fusobacteriota bacterium
Lineage: Bacteria; Fusobacteriati; Fusobacteriota
Description: Fusobacteria bacterium partial 16S ribosomal RNA
Rfam family: Bacterial small subunit ribosomal RNA
Source: RNAcentral